CCCUUAGAUGAUCUGGGCCGCACGCGCGCUACACUGAUGCAUUCAACGAGUGUACCUUGGCCGAGAGGCCUGGGCAAUCUUUUGAACGUGCAUCGUGAUAGGGAUAGAUUAUUGCAAUUAUUAAUCUUGAACGAGGAAUUCCUAGUAAACGCAGAUCAUCAAUCUGCAUUGAUUACGUCCCUGCCCUUUGUACACACCGCCCGUCGCACCUACCGAUUGGAUGGUCCGGUGAAGCCUCGGGAUUGUGGCGGUUGCCUUUAUUGGUGUCCGCCGCGAGAACUUGUCUAAACCUUAUCAUCUAGAGGAAGGUGAAGUCGUAACA
Molecule: ribosomal RNA, 322 nt
Filed under: uncultured eukaryote
Lineage: Eukaryota
Description: partial 18S ribosomal RNA
Rfam family: Eukaryotic small subunit ribosomal RNA
Source: RNAcentral